This 73-nucleotide transfer RNA is filed under the name Craugastor bransfordii (Bransford's litter frog). RNAcentral describes it as "tRNA-Asx". It matches the Rfam family "tRNA". Rfam says of the family: Transfer RNA (tRNA) molecules are approximately 80 nucleotides in length. Lineage: Eukaryota; Metazoa; Chordata; Amphibia; Anura; Craugastoridae. The record is from RNAcentral.
UAAAACGUAGCUCACUGGAAAGAGUUCUUAGCUGUUAACUAAGUUGUUGCGGGAUCAAGACCCGUCGUUUUAG